RNAcentral lists this long non-coding RNA (2327 nucleotides) under Homo sapiens (human). Its description in RNAcentral is "PREDICTED lncRNA (TCONS_00005030)". Lineage: Eukaryota; Metazoa; Chordata; Mammalia; Primates; Hominidae. The record is from RNAcentral.
AAGAGUAAAGUACUUCCGCUUCCUUAGGUGGAGCUGGAAAGGUGGAGGCGGAAGUGACUGAUCAAUUCAGGGGCGUGGGGUUCGUUUAGGUCUUUUCCUAGUUUUGCCCUGUGUAUGACCUCGUUUGGAGCCAUGAAACCAGGUCUGUGAAAUUUAGUGUCUAUUUUCUACCAUAACACAUGUUAAUUUGGACUAACCACAUUUCGAGUGCUCAGUAGCCACAUGUGGCUAGCGACUACUAUCUUGAGCAAUGCAACGAUAAGUCUGCACUUACGUUCAAAAAGACUUAAAGCAGGGAUCGACAACCCCCAGGCCACAGACUGGUAUGGAUCCAUGGCCUGUUAAGAACUGUGCCACACAGCAGGAGGUCACCAUGUGUGAUGACUACAUCCAAAGAGAGUGAGUGGCUUGAGACAUUGGUAGUAUGUGUAUCUGAUCAUAUCAAUAUGUUAAAAUGACGUUCAAAGUAUGAUCUACCUCAGAAUAAUCUAGCCUCAAGCUUUAUUCUAGGAAGGUAAUUCUGAAGAUACCUAUCUUCUUGAGAGUGAAAUUUUAUGGAAUCCUAGAUUUCUCAUACCUAGGAAUAACAAUACAAGGGACAGAAUAGUUAGCAGUGUUCCUGUUGAAAGGUCCAAGUAUCUCCCUAGGCACAGAAAACACCCAAAUGAGCAAAGCAGACCUUGGUGGCCAGAGGGGAGCCCUCAGGUAGAGCUGCAGAUGCUGGCAGUUUGUGUUAGAAGGUUCCGGGGCUAAACAGAUGCCUAGAAUUAGCCACCAAAAGGUAAAUUGUAGACUCCACUCUUCAAGAAGCAGCAGAAGGAUUAGGAAUUCAAACAGUGCUAUUUUACGGUCAUAAGAACAGACAGUAUUUUUUUGGCGCAGCAAGAACUUCUUAGGCCAUAAAGCAUGACAGACCUCUUUUCCUUAUGCGCUGAAUUGAAGAAGUGCUGACUCUUUUGCUGAUGGAAGCUCUUCCACGAGUUCACGAAUGGAAAUAACAUCAAGAGUUUUUCAUCUUCUUAGUGUGCAAGAACACAGCAUAGUAUGUGACAUAAAGGCUUGAUGACUGUGUUGAAUGAAUGUAUGUUAUGUCUGAGGAAUAGUCUUAGUGGAUUAUCCCAAACUUGACACAUUUUUUGCAAAAUGCUAUACAAAAAGAAGAUACAUGCGAUUAUGACAAGAUUCUCCACUUGGUGUGACCAGUCUCAUACAACCCAAGGCUGUGUGUCCAAAGGCAACUGUACUGAAUACCGGAAAGCAUGUAUUUGUUUGCUAAAUUGCUCUCUUUCCACCAGUGAUAUCAAUUCUGAAAUACUUUUGAGAUCUUGACAAUAAUCAAAAGGUAGCCAGGUGCAUCGGGGAAAGCACUGACAUUGGAGUCAGACAGACUGAAGUUCAUAUCUGAUUCUGCUAUAUGACAACGUGUGGGCUAUGUGGCUAACUUCUCAGAGCUUCAGUUUUCUCAAGGGCAAAAUGAAAAUAAUAGAAAUAAUAGAAUCCACCUCACAGGGCUGUGGUGAGAAUUGGAGAUGAAGCACAUACAGCAUAUUACAUCAACUAAACACAUGCUAAGCACAUGACAGAAUUGCUCUGUUGAAGUUUUGCAAGGUCAAAUGACUCACUUUGUCUAAUGGAACGGGAACGAACAAUUUUUUUGUGUCACGUUUGAACAGAUACCUUUGAGAAGUUUAUGAUUCUCCAAGUUCUCUUUCUCCUACUGUGGCACCUACUGACAAGAUAAAUGUGUAGAGGUUCCUGAGUCUAGGGGUGAGUCUUGCAUAUCUGAUGAAUCCACCAGUAAAAGUACCACUGCUGAAAUCACGCAAAUAUAUUUUUUUAGACCUUAUCAACCUUGGCAUGGAAUUAGAUGAGCAAAAAGCUGAGUUGAAUUGAUGAAAAGAAUCCCAAGUCAUUAAUUACUAAUGAUGGAGCUUGUAAAGUACAGCAUCACUGGGGAAAGCAACUGACUUUCCUCAUACACAUUAUAUUUUUAUCUGAAUUUCAAUACUGCUUAAAUAUGUACUUCAUUACAGGGCACAACUAAAAUAGAAGGGCACCUGCUAAGUCAGAGCCAUAAAACAGAUCUACAGCCUGCUGGCAUGUGAAAUUUCUCUAAUUUAUAUUUUUUAUGAAACUACCCUCACAUUAUGUGGUUGGCAGCAUAAAUAAUAAAGCAUGUUACUGAAGCAAUUUUACAUUUACUGUAUUAGUAAGUAAAUGCAAUGGCCACUCUUAUUCUCAAAUAAAAACUACCCAGCCUUUUCAUGAAAGAUGUUUGCAAUUUCCAUUGGCCUGUAUAUGCAAUAAAAAGCCAUAACUCAUCAAAA